CCCUUAGAUGUUCGGGGCCGCACGCGCGCUACACUGAAGGAAUCAGCACGUCUUUCUCCUUGUCCGAAAGGACUGGGUAACCCGCUGAACCUCCUUCGUGCUAGGGAUUGGGGCUUGUAAUUCUUCCCCAUGAAUGAGGAAUUCCCAGUAAGCGCGAGUCAUAAGCUCGCGUUGAUUACGUCCCUGCCCUUUGUACACACCGCCCGUCGCUACUACCGAUUGGAUGGUUUAGUGAGAUCCUCGGAUUGGUCCCGGAGCGGCCUCUGGUCGUGCCGGAGUGCCGAAAAGAAUGUCGAACUUGAUCAUCUAGAGGAAGUAAAAGUCGUAACA
This 330-nucleotide ribosomal RNA is filed under the name uncultured eukaryote. RNAcentral describes it as "partial 18S ribosomal RNA". It matches the Rfam family "Eukaryotic small subunit ribosomal RNA", at positions 1470 to 1796 of the family's 1831-position model. The record is from RNAcentral.